AGUUGAUGUUCCCUUAUUCCUCCAGCCUGAGAAGUCCCCAUUUUGCAAUUUUGAGAAAAUUCCUGUCAUGAAUUUGUGUUUAUCUUCCCUUCCAUUUUGCUUUUGUUUUUAUUUCCAGCUAUUUAUGUUUUGAAUGGGUAAUUCAUGCAUGUUUCAUUGUCUUCAUCUUUCCUUUCCUUUCUUUCUUUCUUUCUUUUUUUCUUUCUUUCUCUCUUUCUCUCUCUUUUCUUUUCCUUCUCCUCCCCCUCCCCUCCCGUUCUUUUCCCUUUCUUUCUUUUCUGUGAGACAGGGUCUCAUUCUGUUGCCCAGGCUGGAAUGAAGUGGCUUGAUCUCGGCUCACGACAACCUCCAACUCCUCAGCUCAAUUGAUACUCCCGCCUCAGCCUCCCAAGCAGCUGGGAUUACAGGCAUGCAGCACCACUGCUGUCUAAUCUUAUUUUAUUUUUUUGUAGAGACAAGGUCUUGCUAUGUUGCCCAGAUUGGUCUGGAACUCUUGACUUCAAGCAAUCCUCCCGCCUCAGCCUCCCAAAGUGCAGGGAUUAUAGGUGUGAGCCACUGCAUUCGGCCUCAUUCACAUGUUUCAAAAAUCAAAAGGUACAAAAGGAAAAAGCGCCUUUCCCCUCUCUGGGCCUUUUAACACUUCCACAUAAAUGAAGCCAGGAACAGCAGCAGUGUCUUGAGUAGUUGGUGGAAAGAAGGUGUUGUUACAUGGGCUGCAGCCUCCAGCUAUGCUCUUUGCAGGAAUUUGAUCUUUAGUGGCCGGACCAUUGUUAGCAUUAGGUUCAGCUGAGAGUGACAGAAACCCCAAGCAACAGUGGCCUUAACAAGGUACACAUUUCUUUCUUUCUUUCUUUUUUUUUUUUAGACGGAGUUUCACUCUGUUACCCAGCCUGGAGUGCAGUGGUGCAAUCUCGGCUUACUGCAACCUCUGCCUCCUGAGUUCAAGCAAUUCUCCUGCCUCAGCCUCCUGAGUAGCUGGGACUACAGGUGCCCACUACCACGCCCAGCUAAUUUUUGUAGUUUUAGUAGAGACGGGGUUUUACCAUAUUGGUCAGGUUCUUAACUCCUGACCUCAGGUGAUCCACCUGCCUUGGCCUCCCAAAGUGCUGGGAUUACAGAUGUGAGCCACUGCACCCGGCCAGAACACACUUAUUUCUAUUUUACAUGGAUAAAGUCUUAAGGUAGGCAUCCCAAAGCUAUUAGGGUGGUUCCACAAUCAUCAAGGACCUAUCUUGUUGCUCGACCACCCUCACCACAUGGCAUCUACUUCAUGGUCCAACAUGGCUGCUUGAGCUCCAGCCAUUACAUCCUCAUUGUAGCCAUUCAGUAGGAGAAAGGGAGGAAGUUGCUUCUGUUUCAGGAUUGUCUCCCAAAGCUGCAAGGAACAUUUCCUCUUGCAAACUGUUGGCCACAGGGUGUAGUGACAGCACAUGUCAUUGUAAAGGGGGCUGGGAAGUGUAGUCUUGAUUCUGGCUUGCUGUGUCACCGCUGAUAUGUAGUGGUUCUACUACUAAGGAAGGAGAGGAGAACAACUACCAAGGCACAGCUAGCAGGCUCUGCCACGAUGCCUGAGUUUCAGAUCUUCCAGGUAGAAAAACCCCUGCCCUCAUGGAGUGCCCGCUGGAAAGGGACCGACUUCAGGCCACUUCCCGAGCGGCACUUCUCGGCAGAUCCCAGAAGCAGCAGCCAGGCUGUGCAGGGCCGCUUCCUAAGCAAGGGCGUGAGUCACACAAGCGGCCUUUGUUAGCUCAGCCAGCUCUCCUGGAAGUCCUUCUCCCAGAGCCGAGGGCCCCUUCCAGCUCUUGCUGUGCCUGAGGCAUCAUCAGGCGGUGCUGCCCGGAGAGGACGCUGUGCAGCAGUGGGCCCACCCGCUCAGCCCUCACGAGCAACGUUGCCUGGUGCUCCCCGGGUUGGGACCCGGGCCUUCUCGGCUUCUGGGGCUGGGCGGGCACCGCAGGGAACAAAGAAGCAUUCCUGAGCCUGAGCCACACGGCUCCAGGCUGACUCCCUGGAGUCUUGGAGAGGCUUGUCUUGAAUGCCUGGCUUUUUGUUUGAGAAAGAAAAGUGUUUUCCAAAGUCCCCAGGCUUCCUCUUGCAUAGAAAUCACAGGGCUCCGAGGAGCCACAGAGCAGGGUGGGAGGACAGGGCAGUCAGGACGCCCUGUCGCAGGGGACAGUGAGAAGGUGCAAGGGGUGGGGAAGUCUCGGGGCACAGGUGAAAGGGAAGACACCCCACCUCAGCCCUCCAUGGCUGUGGCCUCUGCUGGGACCGGGCGCUGGGAGAUGGGCUGUGGCGCCCACCUGGAAUCCUGCGAGGGGCGUCUGGCAGGCCUGGCUGGGUGCAGUGCAGUAGACACGGCAGUGGGCGCUCAGACACGGUUGGGGUGCGAGGGGGACCUGGGGCUGAGGUGGGGGCUCAGGGCAGGGCAUCCAUUAGAGGGGACAGACUGGGCCCCAGAAGGGGUCUCUGUGUCUCGCCCGAGCCAAGAGACUAGACUCUGAGUUCCUGCCGCCCUGGACACCCCUGCAGUGGAGCUGCUGAAGGCAGAAGCUGGCGGUCCUGGCGAGACCAAUGAUCCCUCUACAAGAAUGCCUUACUUAAUGGGACUUUCCUCACUGAGCCUCCUGCACCUGUGCAAAGCACCCCGCCCUUGGGACGUGGUGUGAGACCCCACUGGGAGGGGCAGCUAUGCCCGCAGAGACCACAGCACACCCGCCACUCCUUGUCAGGGUUUAUUUCAUCAGCUAACAUUCAUUCUCGACCUAGACAAAAACAAUUAGAUGAUUAUGACUU
RNAcentral lists this long non-coding RNA (2793 nucleotides) under Homo sapiens (human). RNAcentral describes it as "HSALNT0039554". The record is from RNAcentral. Lineage: Eukaryota; Metazoa; Chordata; Mammalia; Primates; Hominidae.